RNAcentral lists this ribosomal RNA (616 nucleotides) under Entoloma procerum. RNAcentral's name for it is "partial large subunit ribosomal RNA". It matches the Rfam family "Eukaryotic large subunit ribosomal RNA", at positions 56 to 654 of the family's 3401-position model. Lineage: Eukaryota; Fungi; Basidiomycota; Agaricomycetes; Agaricales; Entolomataceae. The record is from RNAcentral.
GAAAAGAAACUAACAAGGAUUCCCCUAGUAACUGCGAGUGAAGCGGGAAAAGCUCAAAUUUAAAAUCUGGUAGUCUUUGGCUGCCCGAGUUGUAAUCUAGAGAAGCAUUAUCCGUGCUGGACCGUGUAUAAGUCUCCUGGAAUGGGGCGUCAUAGAGGGUGAGAAUCCCGUCUUUGACACGGACUUCUGGUGCUUUGUGAUGUGCUCUCAAAGAGUCGAGUUGUUUGGGAAUGCAGCUCUAAAUGGGUGGUAAAUUCCAUCUAAAGCUAAAUAUUGGCGAGAGACCGAUAGCGAACAAGUACCGUGAGGGAAAGAUGAAAAGAACUUUGGAAAGAGAGUUAAACAGUACGUGAAAUUGUUGAAAGGGAAACGCUUGAAGUCAGUCAUAUUGUCCAGGGAUCAACCUUGCUUUUUUGCUUGGUGUACUUCCUGGUCAAUAGGUCAGCAUCAAUUUUGACCAGUGGAAAAAGGCUGGGGGAAUGUGGCAUCUUUGGAUGUGUUAUAGACCUCUGUCAUAUACAUUGGUUGGGAUUGAGGAACUCAGCACGCCGCAAGGCAGGGUUUUAACCACUUUCGUGCUUAGGAUGUUGGCAUAAUGGCUUUAAUCGACCCGUCU